RNAcentral lists this unclassified non-coding RNA (360 nucleotides) under uncultured fungus. RNAcentral describes it as "sequence contains ITS1". The stretch from base 1 to 109 matches the Rfam family "5.8S ribosomal RNA", at positions 50 to 154 of the family's 154-position model. Lineage: Eukaryota; Fungi. The record is from RNAcentral.
GAAAUGCGAAACGUAGUGUGAAUUGCAUAAACCUGUGAAUCAUUGAAUCUUUGAACGCACAUUGCGCUCUGCGGCGGUUCCGCGGCGGAGCAUGCCUGGGUGAGAAUUGCAACACACACUGGCCCGAGGGUUCUGGCCGAGCUGGGGUGCUGGCGGUGCGCGCAAACGUGCUGCCACGCCCUCAAAGACAAGGCGGUGCGGCGCAGCGCGAGGCGUGACAAGCAUGGACUGUGGUCCGUCGUGCGCUCAAGUGCUGCGUUAGCACCGCGUCCAAGUUGAUUGGAGUAUUAACCAUGUUAAUAACUUCAAUUAUCAUCAUAUCAGCAAUCUCACACAGGCAAGAGUACCCGCCGAACUUAA